UGCGGCGUGCCUCCCAUGCAGCUCGAGCGGAUCUCUUCGGCAGAGUAGCGGCGGACGGGUGAGUACGCGUGGGUACCUGCCCUGUACACACGGAUAACAUACCGAAAGGUAUACUAAUACGGGUUAACAUACGAAAGUCGCAUGGUUUUUGUAUCAAAGCUCCGGUGGAACGGGAUGGACCUCGAUCUGAUUAGCUAGUUGGUAAGGUAAUGGCUUACCAAGGC
This 224-nucleotide ribosomal RNA is filed under the name Clostridium sp. MU01-3. Its description in RNAcentral is "partial 16S ribosomal RNA". It matches the Rfam family "Bacterial small subunit ribosomal RNA", at positions 39 to 274 of the family's 1533-position model. Lineage: Bacteria; Bacillati; Bacillota; Clostridia; Eubacteriales; Clostridiaceae. The record is from RNAcentral.